AUGGCACGGUGCUCGCGCGCCUGGCUCACGGUGCUUCUUCUCGCGUGUGCCCUUGUGCAGAGCUCCUACGGCUCGAGACCGUCUCCCAGGGAGCACCAGAAGCCCGGGGCCGUGUCUCCGGUGGUUCACGGCGCCGCCGCACCACACCGCCGUGAGGACGGGACGACCGAAGUCCGGCCCUCCACGGAGGAGGGUCCGACUGGUCAUCGUGGAGCAAACGCUGGUGAUGAUGGUGCUGCUGCUGCAACUUCGGCGAUCGGCGGGAGUGGUGCUGUGUCGUCGGAGCAGAGUAAGGGUUCCGGGCCGCCGGUGCUGCAGCAGGCGCUGGGAAGGAUGCUGGGCACAAGGCUGGCGCGGCGGGUCCUGGGAGGGGAGGCGGAGGACUCGGCGGCCGGGCCGUCGUGCCACUCCAACAACGCGCACAUCACCUGUGCCCCGCCGGCGCAACACUGA
Molecule: ribosomal RNA, 453 nt
Filed under: Triticum aestivum (bread wheat)
Lineage: Eukaryota; Viridiplantae; Streptophyta; Magnoliopsida; Poales; Poaceae
Description: partial small subunit ribosomal RNA
Source: RNAcentral